Long non-coding RNA from Musca domestica (house fly), 748 nucleotides. RefSeq lists it as uncharacterized. The record is from RefSeq and is a predicted model, not a curated record. NCBI's taxonomy places the organism in Eukaryota, Metazoa, Arthropoda, Insecta, Diptera, Muscidae. The transcript is spliced from 2 exons.
AAUGCCAGGGGCUUCAAUACUUGCUGUAAUGGAUGAAGAAAUAAAUCAGCGGUCUACUGAAAAAAUUCGUCGCCGGACAUUGAGGAACGCAUCAGAUCCUUUAUCUCACUCAAAUGCAGAAUUUAUAACUUAUUAUCGGCUAAAUAAAGAAGCUUUUGUUUUAGUUUUGGAAAAAAUUUCUCCCCACCCCAAACGUUCCAAUAUACCGGCUAUUAUCCAGCUUGCAACAACGCUUAGGUUUUUGGCUACAGGUGCAUUUCAAGGAGUUAUAGGUAGAGAUGUGGAGCUAAGCCUUGGGAGAAGUACAGUUUCUACAAUUAUGUGGAGAGUUAUUAAUGCAAUUGAAGCUGAAAUUUGUCCACAUUGGAUCAAAUUAAUAAUGUCUUCCGAAGAAAAAAGAAAGUCGAAAUUGUACUUUUUUGAAAAUUAUGAAAUUCCAGGAAUUGUAGGAUGCAUUGACGGAACUUGCCCGAUUGACUGAAGCGCUCUGUCUCAAACCAAACAAUUAAUUGUUUUUUUUUUGUAUUUCCCCUUUCUUGCUUUUUGGUCUGUCAGUUGUACAUUUCUACACCUUCUUCUUCAGCACAUAUGGCAAUAAUUCAACAAUACAAGUCUGCCGUUCAUUUCUGCAUAUUUUUUUGCGUUUUCAUCAUGGAUUAGAAAAAUAAUAGAUUUUUUGUAAAAUAAAUUCCAAAAACAUGUUCAUUCUAAGAGAAUUUGGUUAAUACAAUAUUUUCUGUUAAAUGUA